This 239-nucleotide long non-coding RNA is filed under the name Prunus persica (peach). Its description in RNAcentral is "long non-coding RNA (PPER_LNC007205)". Lineage: Eukaryota; Viridiplantae; Streptophyta; Magnoliopsida; Rosales; Rosaceae. The record is from RNAcentral.
AGCAAGGAAGUUCCCAGGACAGCUCCAAGCUCCCUUGACAGCUCCAAGCUCCCUUCUCUCUUUGUGGUGAAUCUGAAUGUGUGUAUGAGAGUAAUGGAUGAAGUGAAUGUGUGUGUUUGCCCUCUCUACUUGAAUGAGUGUGCAACUCUCUAUUUAUAGAGGGAAAUUUCGUGCUCCCCUUUGGCUGGUGAAGCACACCUCUCUUAGCUGCUCCCAACUGCUCCAGCUGCCCAUACUUG